RNA transcript from Nematostella vectensis (starlet sea anemone), 251 nucleotides. RefSeq lists it as uncharacterized. The transcript has 2 exons. The record is from RefSeq and is a predicted model, not a curated record. NCBI's taxonomy places the organism in Eukaryota, Metazoa, Cnidaria, Anthozoa, Actiniaria, Edwardsiidae.
AGAAAUAGCAAAAGUGGUUGGAAUGCUAAGCUCUAUUCAGGUGGAGUUAAAGGAAAUCAACUCAAAAGUCAGCUACUGCCCCGCGGAAUGGAUGAGACUCAACCGAUCAUGCUACAAGGCAGACCAGACUAUUAUGAACUAGGCUGAUGAACGGGCCGCCUGUGGCAAACUCGGCGGAGACCUGGUAAAGAUAACGAGCGAACAAGAAAACACAUUUGUGUACGAGCUGAGCCGCAAGCAAGCCCCCUCAA